CUUCGGUCUGGUGGCGAGUGGCGAACGGGUGAGUAAUGUAUCGGAACGUGCCCAGUAGCGGGGGAUAACUACGCGAAAGCGUAGCUAAUACCGCAUACGCCCUACGGGGGAAAGCAGGGGAUCGCAAGACCUUGCACUAUUGGAGCGGCCGAUAUCGGAUUAGCUAGUUGGUGGGGUAACGGCUCACCAAGGCGACGAUCCGUAGCUGGUUUGAGAGGACGACCAGCCACACUGGGACUGAGACACGGCCCAGACUCCUACGGGAGGCAGCAGUGGGGAAUUUUGGGCAAUGGGGGAAACCCUGAUCCAGCCAUCCCGCGUGUGCGAUGAAGGCCUUCGGGUUGUAAAGCACUUUUGGCAGGAAAGAAACGUCAUGGGCUAAUACCCCGUGAAACUGACGGUACCUGCAGAAUAAGCACCGGCUAACUACGUGCCAGCAGCCGCGGUAAUACGUAGGGUGCAAGCGUUAAUCGGAAUUACUGGGCGUAAAGCGUGCGCAGGCGGUUCGGAAAGAAAGAUGUGAAAUCCCAGAGCUUAACUUUGGAACUGCAUUUUUAACUACCGAGCUAGAGUGUGUCAGAGGGAGGUGGAAUUCCGCGCGUAGCAGUGAAAUGCGUAGAUAUGCGGAGGAACACCGAUGGCGAAGGCAGCCUCCUGGGAUAACACUGACGCUCAUGCACGAAAGCGUGGGGAGCAAACAGGAUUAGAUAUCCUGGUAGUCCACGCCCUAAACGAUGUCAACUAGCUGUUGGGGCCUUC
Molecule: ribosomal RNA, 759 nt
Filed under: uncultured Achromobacter sp.
Lineage: Bacteria; Pseudomonadati; Pseudomonadota; Betaproteobacteria; Burkholderiales; Alcaligenaceae
Description: bacterial SSU rRNA
Rfam family: Bacterial small subunit ribosomal RNA
Source: RNAcentral